Molecule: ribosomal RNA, 301 nt
Filed under: uncultured bacterium
Lineage: Bacteria
Description: partial 16S ribosomal RNA
Rfam family: Bacterial small subunit ribosomal RNA
Source: RNAcentral
CAGUCGCCACGGUAAUACGUAGGUGGCAAGCGUUGUCCGGAAUUAUUGGGCGUAAAGCGCGCGCAGGUGGUUUAAUAAGUCUGAUGUGAAAGCCCACGGCUCAACCGUGGAGGGUCAUUGGAAACUGUUAAACUUGAGUGCAGGAGAGAAAAGUGGAAUUCCUAGUGUAGCGGUGAAAUGCGUAGAGAUUAGGAGGAACACCAGUGGCGAAGGCGGCUUUUUGGCCUGUAACUGACGCUGAGGCUCGAAAGCGUGGGGAGCAAACAGGAUUAGAUACCCCGGUAGUCCCUGUCUCUUAUAC